GAUGAACGCUAGCUACAGGCUUAACACAUGCAAGUCGCGGGGCAGCAUGGGGGUUGCUUGCAAUCCCCGAUGGCGACCGGCGCACGGGUGAGUAACGCGUAUCCAACCUGCCCUUCACCACGGGAUAACCCGGCGAAAGUCGGACUAAUACCGUAUGUUGUCCAUUGACGGCAUCCGAUUUGGACGAAAGGUUUGGCGGUGAAGGAUGGGGAUGCGUCCGAUUAGCUGGACGGCGGGGUGACGGCCCACCGUGGCGACGAUCGGUAGGGGUUCUGAGAGGAAGGUCCCCCACACUGGAACUGAGACACGGUCCAGACUCCUACGGGAGGCAGCAGUGAGGAAUAUUGGUCAAUGGGCGUAAGCCUGAACCAGCCAAGUAGCGUGCAGGAUGACGGCCAUAUGGGUUGUAAGCUGCUUUUAUGCGGGGAUAAAGUGGCCCACGUGUGGGUUUUUGCAGGUACCGAAUGAAUAAGGACCGGCUAAUUCCGUG
Molecule: ribosomal RNA, 490 nt
Filed under: uncultured bacterium
Lineage: Bacteria
Description: partial 16S ribosomal RNA
Rfam family: Bacterial small subunit ribosomal RNA
Source: RNAcentral